RNAcentral lists this ribosomal RNA (498 nucleotides) under uncultured bacterium. RNAcentral describes it as "partial 16S ribosomal RNA". It matches the Rfam family "Bacterial small subunit ribosomal RNA", at positions 28 to 507 of the family's 1533-position model. The record is from RNAcentral.
GACGAACGCUGGCGGCGUGCCUAAUACAUGCAAGUCGAACGAGAGCGACCGGUGCUUGCACUGGUCAAUCUAGUGGCGCACGGGUGAGUAACACGUGGGUAACCCGCCUAUCAGAGGGGGAUAACAUUCGGAAACGGAUGCUAAAACCGCAUAGGCCUUCGAACCGCAUGGUUUGAAGAGGAAAAGAGGCGCAAGCUUCUGCUGAUGGAUGGACCCGCGGUGCAUUUGCUAGUUGGUGGGGUAACGGCUCUCCAAGGCCGGGAUGCAUAGCCGACCUGAGAGGGGGAUCGGCCACAUUGGGACGGAGACACGGCCCAAGCUCCGACGGGAGGCAGCAGUAGGGAAUCUUCCGCAACGGACGGAAGUCUGACGUAGCGGCGCCGCGUGAGUGAAGAAGGUUUUCGGUUCGUAAAACUCUGUUGUUAGAGAAGAAUAAGUGCUAGAGUAACUGUUAGCGCCGUGACGGUAUCUAACCAGAAAGCCACGGCUAACUACGUG